GAUGAACGCUAGCGACAGGCUUAACACAUGCAAGUCGAGGGGCAGCAUAAAAGUAGCAAUACUUUGGUGGCGGCCGGCGCACGGGUGAGUAACGCGUAUGCAACCUACCUAUCAGAGGGGAAUAACCCGGCGAAAGUCGGACUAAUACCGCAUAAAACAGGGGCACCGCAUGGUGAUAUUUGUUAAAGAAAUUCGCUGAUAGAUGGGCAUGCGUUCCAUUAGGUAGUUGGUGAGGUAACGGCUCACCAAGCCUACGAUGGAUAGGGGAACUGAGAGGUUGGUCCCCCACACUGGUACUGAGACACGGACCAGACUCCUACGGGAGGCAGCAGUGAGGAAUAUUGGUCAAUGGGCGAGAGCCUGAACCAGCCAAGUCGCGUGAAGGAAGAAGGAUCUAUGGUUCGUAAACUUCUUUUGCAGGGGAAUAAAGUGCAGGACGUGUCCUGUUUUGUAUGUACCCUGAGAAUAAGGAUCGGCUAACUCCGUGCCAGCAGCCGCGGUAA
This 503-nucleotide ribosomal RNA is filed under the name uncultured bacterium. RNAcentral describes it as "bacterial SSU rRNA". It matches the Rfam family "Bacterial small subunit ribosomal RNA", at positions 28 to 523 of the family's 1533-position model. The record is from RNAcentral.